AUCACCAUCCUCACCGGCGUCUUCUACUGGAUCGCCCAGCUCCUCGGCGCCAUCGUCGGCGCCGUCCUCGUCCAGUUCUGCACCGGCGUGGUAAGCCUUCUUUCUUGCAUGCACCUCACCGCCAGAGCUGAGCUCUCAGCCUGAUCCGUCACUCACUCACUGACGCCGCCGUGGGUGGCCGUUGGUUUGCAGGCGACACCGACGCACGGGCUGUCCGGCGUGGGCGCGUUCGAGGGCGUGGUGAUGGAGAUCAUCGUCACCUUCGGGCUGGUGUACACCGUGUACGCCACCGCCGCCGACCCCAAGAAGGGGUCGCUCGGCACCAUCGCGCCCAUCGCCAUCGGCUUCAUCGUCGGCGCCAACAUCCUCGUCGCCGGCCCCUUCUCCGGCGGCUCCAUGAACCCGGCGCGCUCCUUCGGCCCCGCCGUCGCCAGCGGCGACUACACCAACAUCUGGAUCUACUGGGUCGGCCCCCUCGUCGGCGGCGGCCUCGCCGGCCUCGUCUACCGGUA
This 512-nucleotide long non-coding RNA is filed under the name Oryza sativa (Asian cultivated rice). Its description in RNAcentral is "long non-coding RNA (OSAT_LNC001139)". The record is from RNAcentral. Lineage: Eukaryota; Viridiplantae; Streptophyta; Magnoliopsida; Poales; Poaceae.